GAAAAAAAUUUCUAAAUCGAUAACUUUGAUCGAACUUCUAUCUCUUCACAAUUUAUUCCAAGUUGAAGCUCUCCCUAUUUGCGAUUUCCUCCAGAUUGAAGUUGGAUUCGUCAUGUUCGUGUUACGAUCUUGAAGAUUUCAUUGUGGCUACAUAACAAUUUAUCAUUGAGGAGAUUAUAUUUAAAAAUUCACCAUGGUGAAAUCUUAUACGAGACAUCUGUUUCUACUUAUGUUGGAAAUUGUGUGCCUACACUCAAGUAUAUUAUUGAGGACCACUUUUUCAUUUUGAAACUAGUUCAACAAUAGAACCUCCAAAAUCAAGGGAAAUGUUAGACAAACCUGACAAGAAGAGAGGAAAGAGUAAGGAAUGAGCUAAAAAAUAUAAAAAACUUUCAAGAAAAGGAGAAAAUAUGGUAUAUUCCAUAUGCAAGAAAACUGAUCAUAACAAAGAUGUGUGCGCAAAAUAUGGAAGGGGGAACACUUCUCAACCUGAAAGCCAGAGAAAUUCAAGCCAACAAAGUUAUUCUUAAAUAGGAGUAAGGAGUAAGAUUUGAUUUUGCAUAUUCAUUUGCAUUAAUUUUUAUUCUAUAAGUUAUUCAUAUCUCCUUAUUUUUGUUCAACAUGUUAAAACAUAAUCAAGUCAACAAAGUUUCGUUUGUGCUGAUAUUACAGUUGUGUUAAGAACUACUCAAACAACAAUAAGAUUUAAUAACUCAUUUGUUCUACAAAUUAUUCAUAUAUCCAUAUUUAUGCUACAUAGUCUACAAUGGGAGGCCUAUCACAUUUUACUUUCAGAAUCACAGAUGCGGCGACACAAUCAAGUUAUAUUUGUGCGGACACAAUAUUUAUGCCAAGAUCUCCUCAAAAUAGGAUUUAAGUUGGAACUGAAAGAGGAUUGAGAAGAAAACUAAUGCAAGAGGGAUCCCAUUUAUUACUGAAAAAAAAUAGUUUUUCUAAUCAACUACCACCUUUAUCAGGUCACAGGAAACCAUACAGUUCUGCCUCAUUUGUUGUUGCUACUGGAGGAAACAAAAGGCCAGCAACUAGUUUGAUGUUUACUCUGAUCCUACAACUGGAGCUCAAGUCUGUAAUGUAUGUUCACUUAAUGUGUUUACUUUGUUUUGAUGUAUAAUCUGAUAACCAUAUUAUGAUUUUACUUUAUGUUACACUUUUUUUUUCUUAUAUUACAACCUGAUACAUCAAGUGAGAUGAAUUUCAUGGGCCAACAAAAUUGAAGAGUGUUUCAUCAAUCAAUAUAGACAAUGACUUUAAACCCCGUGGCGUGAAAAAGAAAGAUAAAGAUGCAAUCAAUAUCUCACAGUUGCAAGAAAUGAAAACAAACACAAAAAAAACUUGGAGUAUUCAUUUGGAAAAUUGUUAUGACUUUGACCCAUGUUAAACAGGUCUUCAACAAGCUACUCUUUCGUCUAUUUUGAAAACUCAUGUAUUGUAUUUUUGAACCAUGCAAGACAAUGGUUUUGAAUAACA
Solanum lycopersicum (tomato) is the source of this 1488-nucleotide long non-coding RNA. RefSeq lists it as uncharacterized. NCBI's taxonomy places the organism in Eukaryota, Viridiplantae, Streptophyta, Magnoliopsida, Solanales, Solanaceae. The record is from RefSeq and is a predicted model, not a curated record.